RNAcentral lists this ribosomal RNA (517 nucleotides) under Klebsiella pneumoniae. RNAcentral describes it as "partial 23S ribosomal RNA". It matches the Rfam family "Bacterial large subunit ribosomal RNA", at positions 1 to 557 of the family's 2925-position model. Lineage: Bacteria; Pseudomonadati; Pseudomonadota; Gammaproteobacteria; Enterobacterales; Enterobacteriaceae. The record is from RNAcentral. RNAcentral also lists the same sequence under 1 other name.
GGUUAAGCGACUAAGCGUACACGGUGGAUGCCCUGGCAGUCAGAGGCGAUGAAGGACGUGCUAAUCUGCGAAAAGCGUCGGUAAGGUGAUAUGAACCGUUAUAGCCGGCGAUGUCCGAAUGGGGAAACCCAGUGCAAUUCGUUGCACUAUCGUUAACUGAAUACAUAGGUUAACGAGGCGAACCGGGGGAACUGAAACAUCUAAGUACCCCGAGGAAAAGAAAUCAACCGAGAUUCCCCCAGUAGCGGCGAGCGAACGGGGAGCAGCCCAGAGUCUGAAUCAGCUUGUGUGUUAGUGGAACGGUCUGGAAAGUCCGACGGUACAGGGUGAUAGUCCCGUACACCAAAAUGCACAGGCUGUGAACUCGAAGAGUAGGGCGGGACACGUGGUAUCCUGUCUGAAUAUGGGGGGACCAUCCUCCAAGGCUAAAUACUCCUGACUGACCGAUAGUGAACCAGUACCGUGAGGGAAAGGCGAAAAGAACCCCGGCGAGGGGAGUGAAAAAGAACCUGAAACC